CCGCUGCCUUUCUCAACAUCAGCACUGGCUAUUAGCUAGCUCCUGCUAGCUCCAACAAAGCAUCUCUCAACUGCUACAAGGUCCAACUUGACACACAACUUGAAUCCAACCAGACUGAACACUGACUCCAGGGACAGACGAGCCUGAAGGACACAGCUGUGAUGACCAUGUUCUGUCUCUUAUGGCAAAGCAGAAAUAUAAAACACUGGGUUCUUAUCUAAAGUGUAUCAAAUCAGAUCUCCACCAUGUUGCUGCUGAGGACAUCAGGUGCUGCAGUUCUUCAUCUAUGAAGAGAAAAAACUCACUGUUAAAGAAUGUUUUGUGUUGUGUAUGAAGCACAACAGAUUUCAGAUAGAA
Long non-coding RNA from Pleuronectes platessa (European plaice), 357 nucleotides. RefSeq lists it as uncharacterized. The transcript has 3 exons. The record is from RefSeq and is a predicted model, not a curated record. NCBI's taxonomy places the organism in Eukaryota, Metazoa, Chordata, Actinopteri, Pleuronectiformes, Pleuronectidae.